This 494-nucleotide ribosomal RNA is filed under the name uncultured bacterium. RNAcentral describes it as "partial 16S ribosomal RNA". It matches the Rfam family "Bacterial small subunit ribosomal RNA", at positions 28 to 507 of the family's 1533-position model. The record is from RNAcentral.
GACGAACGCUGGCGGCGUGCUUAACACAUGCAAGUCGAACGGAAAGGCCUGCUUUCCCUUGUGGAUUGCGGGUACUCGAGUGGCGAACGGGUGAGUAACACGUGAGUGAUCUGCCCCCAACUUGGGUAUAAGCCUGGGAAACUGGGUCUAAUUCCCGAUAGGACUGCAGGGUGGUGCCUGUGGUGGAAAACGAUUUUCUAGUGGUCGGGGAUGAGCUCGCGGCGUAUCAGCUUGUGGUUGGGGUAAUGGCCUACCAAGGCGGCGUCGGGUAGCCGGCCGGAGGGCGUGGACCGCGGUCGUGUGACUGAGUUACAGUGCAGUGAGCUACGGGAGGCACCAGAGGGGGGUGUUGAACAUUGGAGGAGAGCCUGAUGCAGCGACGGCGCGCGCGGAAUGACGGCGUUCGGGUUGUGGACUCCUUUGGGGCGCAAGGAUGCCACUUGGUUGGACGGGUGGUGACGGGAAUGGGAGAAGAAGCACCGGCUAACUACGUG